AGAGUUUGAUCCUGGCUCAGAUUGAACGCUGGCGGAACGCUUUACACAUGCAAGUCGAACGGUAACGCGGAGAGAAGCUUGCUUCUCUCCGGCGACGAGUGGCGAACGGGUGAGUAAUACAUCGGAACGUGUCCGCUCGUGGGGGACAACCAGCCGAAAGGUUGGCUAAUACCGCAUGAGUUCUACGGAAGAAAGAGGGGGACCCGCAAGGGCCUCUCGCGAGCGGAGCGGCCGAUGACUGAUUAGCCGGUUGGUGAGGUAACGGCUCACCAAAGCAACGAUCAGUAGCUGGUCUGAGAGGACGACCAGCCACACUGGGACUGAGACACGGCCCAGACUCCUACGGGAGGCAGCAGUGGGGAAUUUUGGACAAUGGGCGCAAGCCUGAUCCAGCUAUUCCGCGUGUGGGAUGAAGGCCCUCGGGUUGUAAACCACUUUUGUAGAGAACGAAAAGACACCUUCGAAUAAAGGGUGUUGCUGACGGUACUCUAAGAAUAAGCACCGGCUAACUACGUGCCAGCAGCCGCGGUAAUACGUAGGGUGCGAGCGUUAAUCGGAAUUACUGGGCGUAAAGGGUGCGCAGGCGGUUGAGUAAGACAGAUGUGAAAUCCCCGAGCUUAACUCGGGAAUGGCAUAUGUGACUGCUCGACUAGAGUGUGUCAGAGGGAGGUGGAAUUCCACGUGUAGCAGUGAAAUGCGUAGAUAUGUGGAAGAACACCGAUGGCGAAGGCAGCCUCCUGGGACAUAACUGACGCUCAGGCACGAAAGCGUGGGGAGCAAACAGGAUUAGAUACCCUGGUAGUCCACGCCCUAAACGAUGUUAACUAGUUGUUGGGAAGUAAAAUUCUCAGUAACGCAGCCAACGCGAGAAGUUAACCGCCUGGGAAGUACGGUCGCAAGACUAAAACUCAAAGGAAUUGACGGGGACCCGCACAAGCGGUGGAUGAUGUGGAUUAAUUCGAUGCAACGCGAAAAACCUUACCUACCCUUGACAUGUCAGGAAGCUCUUGUAAUGAGAGCGUGCCCGCAAGGGAGCCUGAAC
This 1042-nucleotide ribosomal RNA is filed under the name human gut metagenome. RNAcentral describes it as "bacterial SSU rRNA". It matches the Rfam family "Bacterial small subunit ribosomal RNA", at positions 8 to 1033 of the family's 1533-position model. The record is from RNAcentral.